This 451-nucleotide ribosomal RNA is filed under the name uncultured bacterium. RNAcentral describes it as "bacterial SSU rRNA". It matches the Rfam family "Bacterial small subunit ribosomal RNA", at positions 29 to 469 of the family's 1533-position model. The record is from RNAcentral.
AACGAACGCUGGCGGCGUGGCUAAGACAUGCAAGUCGAACGGACUGUCCAAUUUAUUGAACAGUUAGUGGCGAAAGGGUUAGUAACGGAUGGGUAACGUACCCUGUGCUUUGGGAUAGCGUCAGUUACUUCGGUAACUUUCCGAAAGGGGCGGUAAUACCAAAUAAUAUCAUUUGUCGAUAGGCAGAUGAUCAAAGAUUUAUCGGCACGGGAGCGGCCUGUCUCCUAUCAGCUUGUUGGUGAGGUAAUGGCUCACCAAGGCAUCGACGGGUAGCGGGACUGAGAGGUUGACCCGCAACAUCGGGACUGAGACACUGCCCGGACCUCCACGGAGGGCUGCAGUAACGGAUAUUGUGCAAUGGGCGAAAGCCUGACACAGCGACGCCGCGUGUAGGAGGAAGUCUUUCGGGAUGUAAACUACUGUCAGGGGGAAGAAAGUGCGCUUCGGCGUA